CUAAAUGAUGAUUUUUAUUACCGCCCCAGUCUGAUAUUUGUGAAAGAUUGGUUAGGUGCUGAUAUUAA
RNAcentral lists this small nucleolar RNA (68 nucleotides) under Anoplophora glabripennis (Asian longhorned beetle). Lineage: Eukaryota; Metazoa; Arthropoda; Insecta; Coleoptera; Cerambycidae. The record is from RNAcentral.